Long non-coding RNA from Cornus florida, 1331 nucleotides. RefSeq lists it as uncharacterized. The transcript has 4 exons. The record is from RefSeq and is a predicted model, not a curated record. Lineage: Eukaryota; Viridiplantae; Streptophyta; Magnoliopsida; Cornales; Cornaceae.
ACUUUAUUCUCUCUCUCACACCUGAUGAUAAAGAAAUUACUCCUACACUCACGUCAGCUUCUCGAUCCUUCAUUUCAUUUUCAGACCAACUCUCUCAUCUUCUCAUCUUCAUCUCCGUCCCAUCUCUCUCUCUAACACACUGUGUGUGCGUCUAUUUCUCCAGCGAGGCUAUCAGAUUUUCGAAAUCGCUUUCAACCUAGCUCGCAAGGAAGAGAAGCCGACAAAGUGUAAUGCAAAGGCAAAGCACAAGGUGUUGAGAACAGCGUCGUGUCUCCACGGACAUCGUCCAUUUUCACCGCCACUUCCGCCGACCGCCGGUAGACUAGGUACACCUCAAUCACCAAACAAGAAGAGAAGUCAUAUCGGCCAUACUUGCUCUGCUGUUGUCUAUGACCUGCUUUACAGAUUGAGAUGCAAAUCGGUUUUUCUCUCUUCGCCAAUUUUCUUUUAGGCUUUGAUUGAUUCUCUCGCGUCUCUUCCAAUACCGCCUUCAUUUUGAUCCCUUUAUCCAAGGCAAUUGAUCACUAGACAAGAAGAAAGAUGUCGGCUUCCUCACAAACCUACCAGGCGCAUCCGAAAAACUCCAGAUUUUCAAUGCUGAUCUUGAACAGCCAGACAGUUUUGAUGCAGCCAUUGAAGGAUGCAUUGGAGUGUUUCAUGUGGCUCAUCCCAUUGAUUUUGAAGACAAAGAACCAGAACAAGUCAAGAACAGAAGAGCAAUCAAUGGGACUCUAAGCAUUUUAAAAGCUUGCCUUGAUUUCAAGACAGUGAAAAGAGUGGUGUACACUUCUAGUGCAUCAACUGUGGUGUGUAGUUAAUGGUCUGCACCGGUAGUCUAAUCACUGUAGUACCCUGCUGUUUACAUCAUUUUUAUUGUAUAUUUAAAGGUUUUAGUUAAGAGUGUUAAAUUGUCUAAUUGUCAUAGGUUCGUAACGAGAUUGGAACUUCUCAAGCACUGCCACAAGCAGCAUAACAUGCAAGAUCAUCAUCCUCUUCAAAUACAUGCGUCAUUCCAUCCUCUAAGGUUGUGACAUGCGCAUAAAUCAACUGAUUCAAAAUGGAAAAAGAGGGAUUAAAUCUUGUAUCUUGAAAGUUAGAUUUUGAAACUAAGAUGAUCUUUGCAUACGGGAAUAUGUGCAUGCACAGAUGAGAUGCAUACAUAGGGAUUGUUGGAUUUAUCAAACAUGAUAGAACAUCUAAAAGAAUGUGAUGGUUUGCUCGUUGCUUAACAACUUUUUGUCAAGCCGAACUUUGAUAAAACAGUGAUUGAAUGCUAUAUGAUCUAAUUUUUGACGUGUAUGUAAAUGACAUAUAAGGAAUUUUUUUUUUUU